Molecule: long non-coding RNA, 268 nt
Organism: Urocitellus parryii (Arctic ground squirrel)
Lineage: Eukaryota; Metazoa; Chordata; Mammalia; Rodentia; Sciuridae
Source: RefSeq, a predicted model, not a curated record
GGAAACGAAACUACUCUUCUGGCUGGCACCCUGGCUACAGGGCAAGGAAACACCCAGGGAGGACGGCCGGCCGGCUCUUUGCUAGUGUCAUGGAGUGACCAGAGCCAAGGAUCACUGAGAACAACCUCAGGCAUUUGACAAUAACAAGCCUCUCUUCAUCUUAUGAACUGGAGACUACUACAAUCAGGAUUAAGUACAAAAGUAAAUUGAGAUUCAAUGAAGUUCCUACAGCGAGACAAGAAUGGAUGAAUCUGCUUCAAAUCCCAAU